CCCCUACUUGUUAGUUGCCAUCAUUCAGUUGGGCGACUCUAGCGAGACUGCCGGUAAUAAACCGGAGGAAGGUGGGGAUGACGUCAAAUCAUCAUGCCCCUUAUGACCUGGGCUACACACGUGCUACAAUGGUUGGUACAACGAGUUGCGAGUCGGUGACGGCGAGCUAAUCUCUUAAAGCCAAUCUCAGUUCGGAUUGUAGGCUGCAACUCGCCUACAUGAAGUCGGAAUCGCUAGUAAUCGCGGAUCAGCACGCCGCGGUGAAUACGUUCCCGGGCCUU
RNAcentral lists this ribosomal RNA (281 nucleotides) under uncultured Streptococcus sp. Its description in RNAcentral is "partial 16S ribosomal RNA". It matches the Rfam family "Bacterial small subunit ribosomal RNA", at positions 1098 to 1382 of the family's 1533-position model. Lineage: Bacteria; Bacillati; Bacillota; Bacilli; Lactobacillales; Streptococcaceae. The record is from RNAcentral.